RNAcentral lists this transfer RNA (57 nucleotides) under Camelus bactrianus (Bactrian camel). It matches the Rfam family "tRNA", at positions 8 to 63 of the family's 71-position model. From Rfam's summary of the family: Transfer RNA (tRNA) molecules are approximately 80 nucleotides in length. RNAcentral also lists the same sequence under 1 other name. Lineage: Eukaryota; Metazoa; Chordata; Mammalia; Artiodactyla; Camelidae. The record is from Rfam by way of RNAcentral.
UAGCUUAGUGGUAGAGUGCAUGCUUAGUGUGCAUGAGGUGUUGGGUUCAAUCCCCAG